AAGCUUGAAGGUUUCCAGGACAUCACUCAAACCUGAGCAUGGACAUACAUAGUUAUACUUAUGGGAGCUGAGAGGAUUAAAGCCUAGGAACUGUCACACUGAAAUACAGACCUGGACUGCCUUGAGUAAAAAAAGAACUCCGUUAACUGACAACUCCAUCACCCCAUCAGACAGUGUGGCAGGGACAUUUCCCCUUCACCCUUUUGCAGGAUGCUGUAUCACCUUCAGACCCAAGGAACAUCACUAGAAAACAGAAACUGAAGACAGAAUCCUGUCAU
This 278-nucleotide long non-coding RNA is filed under the name Anser brachyrhynchus (Pink-footed goose). RNAcentral's name for it is "lncRNA (ENSABRG00000012776.1)". Lineage: Eukaryota; Metazoa; Chordata; Aves; Anseriformes; Anatidae. The record is from RNAcentral.